GAGUACGGCCGCAAGGCUGAAACUUAAAGGAAUUGGCGAGGGAGCACUACAACGGGUGGAGCCUGCGGUUUAAUUGGACUCAACGCCGGAAAACUCACCGGGGGCGACAGCAAUAUGUAGGUCAGGUUAAAGGUCUUACCUGAAUCGCUGAGAGGAGGUGCAUGGCCGUCGUCAGUUCGUACUGUGAAGCAUCCUGUUAAGUCAGGCAACGAGCAAGACCCGUGCCCACUGUUACCAGCAUAUCCUUUAUGGAUGAUGGGGACUCUGUGGGGACCGCUGCUGCUAAAGCAGAGGAAGGUGCGGGCUACGGUAGGUCAGUAUGCCCCGAAUCUCCCGGGCUACACGCGGGCUAUAAUGGUUGGGACAAUGGGUAUCUACUCCGAAAGGAGUUGGCAAUCUCUUAAACCCAAUCGUAGUUCGAAUUGAGGGCUGUAACUCGCCCUCAUGAAGCUGGAAUCCGUAGUAAUCGCGUUUCAACAUAGCGCGGUGAAUCUGUCCCUGCUCCUUGCACACACCGCCCGUCAAACCAUCCGAGUGAGGUAUGGGUGAGGGCACGAACUUAGUGUCGUGCUCGAACCUAAAUUUCGCAAGGAGGGUUAAGUCGUAACAAGGUAGCCGUAGGGGAAUCUGCGGCUGGAUCACCUCCU
This 647-nucleotide ribosomal RNA is filed under the name uncultured archaeon. RNAcentral describes it as "bacterial SSU rRNA". It matches the Rfam family "Archaeal small subunit ribosomal RNA", at positions 833 to 1478 of the family's 1478-position model. The record is from RNAcentral.